CGGCGCGGGCGGGUUGAGCUGCGGCGGAUCGAGGACCGGACGAGCCGGCAGGUGCGCUUCUCCAAGCGCCGAGCGGGGCUCUUCAAGAAGGCCUUCGAGCUCUCGCUCCUCUGCGACGCCGAGGUCGCGCUGCUCGUCUUCUCCCCCGCCGGCAAGCUCUACGAGUACGCCUCCUCCAGCAUUGAAGGUACAUAUGACCGGUAUCAGCAAUUUGCGGUGCCCGGAAGGAAUCUGAUUCAAGAAGAUGCAACUGUCUGCAAUGAUGAAGAUCCUUCAAAUAUGCAGUCAAGGCUUGGCGAGAUUGCUGCCUGGUCUCUCGAUAAUAAUGCUGACAACUCAGAUGCCAGUAGUUUGGAGAAACUGGAGAAACUACUAAAGGAUGCUCUGAGAAUUACAGAAUCUAAGAAGGCUUUGGCGAAACAAAAUAGUGGCGGGAGCACGAGCGGAGAGAGCCCCAACGGACCUACGGGGCAGGAGAAUGGGAGGAAUGCUUGA
RNAcentral lists this ribosomal RNA (495 nucleotides) under Triticum aestivum (bread wheat). RNAcentral's name for it is "partial small subunit ribosomal RNA". Lineage: Eukaryota; Viridiplantae; Streptophyta; Magnoliopsida; Poales; Poaceae. The record is from RNAcentral.